CCCCAAAUUCUCCAGCCUUCCCUUAAAGGCCCAUCGCCGUCCCUGAGCUGUUAAUUUAUAAAGCUUGUUCAUUUUCAUGAUUUCUGGCAAGCAGAUUCUACAUUAGACCAGCAGGCCUACUAGUACUUUUGUUCCAACAGUCUGCAUAUUUGAAAUGAAAUUGCCUAAAGAUGACCGUAGAGUCCUCUUUGGGUUUUAUUUUUGCACAAAAUUUUAAGAGUGUAGGCCCAUAUACACUUUUUCACUGUAGCAGCGUUUCUAGUUAUUUUUGUUUGUUUUUUUUUUUUUUUUUUUUUUUUUAAGAAAAAGAAAAACUACAACUCAGACAUUUUGGGUUUUAUUGGUAUCAAUUUACAUUAACAGGCUGAAAUGCAAUUAAUUGAAUUCUGCAUGCAUACAUGUUCAGUCAAUCUAUAAAGCAACUUUGUUAAUUUCCUUUGAGGUAUGUUUAUGAAGUACAAGUUUUAAAUAACAUCACAAAAACAUUCAGCUUGCCACUGAUCAUUUUUGUGAAUUUAACAGAGAACAAGUCUUCAAGUUUAAUAUCCGGUGACUCGUACAGCCAGACACUUCAUAAAUCCUUUUUUCAAAAACCCCAGAAUUUACUCUUCCACCAUUUGAUACAUGAAGAGGCAAGAUAAUCUCACCUCUCAUAACUCCUCAAACAUCUAUCUUCAAAAAGAUACAACGGCUGAAGAACCUUUCAACAUCUUCAGUGUAUCUCAACUGGGAAAGCAGCCUGUCGAACACGUACUGAUUCUGUGCUAACAGAUAAAGCAUCAAACUUCAAAUCUCACUGUAAAAACAAGGCCAUACUACUCAGUUUGGAGUGUCUCAUUUUCUUUUGUAUUGUAGAAAUUCAAGUCCACAACAUAUUUCACCUGAAAUAUCCACUGGAGAAUAAUUCCACUGGAGAAAUCCACUGCUUAGAAUUACGUAUAAGAAGUGAAAGAAUGGAUCAUUAAGGCCAUCAGAGACUAGUCAUCACAUUAAUGUUAUUAAAAAGAUUGUUCAUAUUAAAAGUACCAAUAAUGAGAAAAUAUGGAAAUGUUCCUGUGACAAUUAAAAUCCUUCAUCCUCUGGUUUUCUUUAA
Molecule: long non-coding RNA, 1093 nt
Organism: Leopardus geoffroyi (Geoffroy's cat)
Lineage: Eukaryota; Metazoa; Chordata; Mammalia; Carnivora; Felidae
Exons: 3
Source: RefSeq, a predicted model, not a curated record